GACGAACGCUGGCGGCGUGCCUAAUACAUGCAAGUAGAACGCACAGUUUAUACCGUAGCUUGCUACACCAUAGACUGUGAGUUGCGAACGGGUGAGUAACGCGUAGGUAACCUGCCUGGUAGCGGGGGAUAACUAUUGGAAACGAUAGCUAAUACCGCAUAAUAUUAAUUAUUGCAUGAUAAUUGAUUGAAAGAUGCAACUGCAUCACUACCAGAUGGACCUGCGUUGUAUUAGCUAGUAGGUGAGGUAACGGCUCACCUAGGCGACGAUACAUAGCCGACCUGAGAGGGUGAUCGGCCACACUGGGACUGAGACACGGCCCAGACUCCUACGGGAGGCAGCAGUAGGGAAUCUUCGGCAAUGGACGAAAGUCUGACCGAGCAACGCCGCGUGAGUGAAGAAGGUUUUCGGAUCGUAAAGCUCUGUUGUAAGAGAAGAACGGGUGUGAGAGGGAAA
This 456-nucleotide ribosomal RNA is filed under the name Streptococcus gordonii. RNAcentral's name for it is "bacterial SSU rRNA". It matches the Rfam family "Bacterial small subunit ribosomal RNA", at positions 28 to 466 of the family's 1533-position model. The record is from RNAcentral. Lineage: Bacteria; Bacillati; Bacillota; Bacilli; Lactobacillales; Streptococcaceae.